CCUUAAUUACCCCAUCUGAGGCUGUUAAAAGUUGAGAAGAUGUUGACGGGAUAGUCCCAAGAGAUGACAUUUGUGUUACGUACCCACUGAUAAGAUACACUUGGAGUUGAUUGUGUUCCCUUUUAACAUAGACUUAAAAUAUAAAAAAAUAAAAUCAUAAUAUAUAAUAGGAGGAGUUAAUUCUGAAACUGGAUUAUGGAAGUUGAGUGGUGGUGGAAAUAGUUGGACAACAUACUGCUAUAGUGGACAGUUACUAUUUAUUCAAAGCAAAGUUAAAAUUUACAAGAGAAGAAGAUAGAUAGCUCAGCACAAAAGCAUAGAAAAGAAGGAAAACACAAUGAAAGACUCUGCCCAACAAUGGGUGAGAUCAUCUCUUAUAAAGGCCAAGCGGUGCCACUAUUCGGAAUUGAAGAAUUUGAAGUCCGAGCAAGUGGAAUAGUCUGCAGUCG
Molecule: long non-coding RNA, 449 nt
Filed under: Actinidia chinensis (golden kiwifruit)
Lineage: Eukaryota; Viridiplantae; Streptophyta; Magnoliopsida; Ericales; Actinidiaceae
Description: long non-coding RNA (ACHI_LNC001938)
Source: RNAcentral